Long non-coding RNA from Triticum aestivum (bread wheat), 1091 nucleotides. RefSeq lists it as uncharacterized. The record is from RefSeq and is a predicted model, not a curated record. The transcript has 5 exons. NCBI's taxonomy places the organism in Eukaryota, Viridiplantae, Streptophyta, Magnoliopsida, Poales, Poaceae.
CGAGAAGAUCCUGAGAUUCAUCAAGGGCUACAAGCGAACGUUUAAUCUCGGUAUUCUUGGUUGCGCCUAAAUGAUUUGAAGCAAAUCUGAACCUGUAACUGUAGUUCUUGGUCUGAAGAUAUCACAUCUCAACUUUUCUUUCCCCGCAGCUUGCAUUGACCAUAGAGGCGCACCACAGAAUCCAUCCAGGACCUGCACCCCUGAAUCCGAAGAUGAAGAAAUAUGCGUAUUCAACGUGAGGAAUUUCAUACUUUUGGUGUGGUGCUAGCAAAUAUAGUGACCAAAGAUAGUGAUGAGAAAGGGUGGAGCUGAGUAUGCCACACAUGGAUAUGAUUAUUCCCCGUAUGUUCUUUUUGGCAAUCCACUUCAUCACUGACUCAUCUGUGUAUGGGGUAGAGCCAAGGUGGCAUAAGUGUGUGGCUACGGAUUACAUCACGGAUUAUGUGCUACUUUAUUAGUUGAAGUCUCUUUGUUCGGUUCCAAAGUUUGGCCACAACUAGCUUGAUUCGGAGACAUUUCGUAUUAGGAGUUAAACUUUGGUUUGGAGGCAUUGAGCUUUGCCAGUAACUAGCUUUGUUACUUGGUAUACUUCUGUCAGCAUUCAGGAGCCCCGUAGUUGUGUAGCGGGUCGCGGGAGAGGCAGCCGGUGAGUGCGAGCUGGACGGGAAAGUGAUGCCUGCGAUGGCGAACCAUGCCGGCGGGCAGGGCAGGGUCGACGCUCUAAAUGUACUGCCUGACAGCUUGUCUUAGUCUUAAUAAAAGUGCAUAUCUGCAGCAUCCUUUCAUUUAUUUGGCAUAUCCUACUUUAAAAAAUAUCCUUGACUCGCAUCGAUUUCAAAUAACUGAAGUAUCUUCUCUGCUCAUGUUUCCACAUAAAGCCCAAUCAUGUAUAUGUACUGAUGGCAGCAUGCAUUCCAAGUUAGAGAGGUUCCAAUGCUUUCCUUUUUUCACAUCCGUGCUUAUCUUCUUGUAUUGUUUAGCAACGAGAUCAAUAGUAGCACUUGGCCAGAAUAUGAAUUUUUAGUGCUUCUGAAUUUCAAUGACAAGCGGUACUGAAUUUUAACUAAGUGCUUCUGAUAUGUCAAUGACAA